ACUCCUACGGGAGGCAGCAGUGGGGAAUAUUGCACAAUGGGCGCAAGCCUGAUGCAGCAACGCCGCGUGAGGGACGACGGCCUUCGGGUUGUAAACCUCUUUUAGUAGGGAAGAAGCGAAAGUGACGGUACCUGCAGAAAAAGCACCGGCUAACUACGUGCCAGCAGCCGCGGUAAUACGUAGGGUGCAAGCGUUAUCCGGAAUUAUUGGGCGUAAAGAGCUCGUAGGCGGUUUGUCGCGUCUGCUGUGAAAACUGGAGGCUCAACCUCCAGCCUGCAGUGGGUACGGGCAGACUAGAGUGCGGUAGGGGAGAUUGGAAUUCCUGGUGUAGCGGUGGAAUGCGCAGAUAUCAGGAGGAACACCGAUGGCGAAGGCAGAUCUCUGGGCCGUAACUGACGCUGAGGAGCGAAAGCAUGGGGAGCGAACAGGAUUAGAUACCCUGGUAGUCCAUGCCGUAAACGUUGGGAACUAGAUGUAGGGACCAUUCCACGGUUUCUGUGUCGCAGCUAACGCAUUAAGUUCCCCGCCUGGGGAGUACGGCCGCAAGGCUAAAACUCAAAGGAAUUGACGGGGGCCCGCACAAGCGGCGGAGCAUGCGGAUUAAUUCGAUGCAACGCGAAGAACCUUACCAAGGCUUGACAUAUACCGGAAAAGUUCAGAAAUGUUCUCCCCGCAAGGUCGGUAUACAGGUGGUGCAUGGUUGUCGUCAGCUCGUGUCGUGAGAUGUUGGGUUAAGUCCCGCAACGAGCGCAACCCUCGUUCUAUGUUGCCAGCACGUAAUGGUGGGAACUCAUAGGAGGCUGCCGGGGUCAACUCGGA
Molecule: ribosomal RNA, 819 nt
Filed under: uncultured Actinomycetes bacterium
Lineage: Bacteria; Bacillati; Actinomycetota; Actinomycetes
Description: bacterial SSU rRNA
Rfam family: Bacterial small subunit ribosomal RNA
Source: RNAcentral